CUUAUCGAGAGUGGCGGAGGGACAGGCCCAAGGAAGCCCGGCAACCGGAAAAACCGGUGCUAAAUCCUGCAGCGAAGGCUGAAAGAUGAGG
This 91-nucleotide non-coding RNA is filed under the name human gut metagenome. Its description in RNAcentral is "SAM riboswitch (S box leader)". It matches the Rfam family "SAM riboswitch aptamer (S box leader)". Rfam says of the family: The SAM riboswitch is found upstream of a number of genes which code for proteins involved in methionine or cysteine biosynthesis in Gram-positive bacteria. The SAM riboswitch acts at the level of transcription termination control. The predicted structure consists of a complex stem-loop region followed by a single stem loop terminator region. The record is from RNAcentral.